UUGACAGUUUGGCUUCCCUGUUCUGGGUGGCAAAGCCUGUGGAGUACUCACCUACCUGCUGCAUGAAGGCAGCAUGGAGGGACUGUGGUGGAUUAUCUGCAAAGAUGGCCAAAAUUCUCUCAUCCCUGCAGGCACAUACAAGUUUUGAGAAGAAUGCGAAGAAGAAAGGAAGAGUGAGCCUCUCUUUCCCAUCGUUACCCUCCAUUGUCCUCUUGACACCCUGCUUUCACAGAGAAAGAGUUUGAGACCCUCUCCCAGGAGCCAAGGAGAGGGGAACAGCUGGCUUCACAUCAUCUUUCUAUUCAACAAGAUACAAAAAGCUGAAGCCAGGAUGAUAGAAAAGCAACAAAGAAGACACGGUCCUUACUCAUUUCCCUUCCCGCUUCAGAGCAAAUAUGGUGCCUAGUGUUUGAAGGGAGAACUUGUGGGCAGAGCAGGAAGCGUGAGUAUGGUUGAAGGAUCAAAUAUUUGGUUCAGGCAUCAGGGAGCCAGCAAGACUAUGAUGCUGGGAAACACAAGUGAUGUACUGUUGGAUUUAAUCUACUUGGAAAAAACCUAGGAAAACCAAAAUGUCAUCAACUAACACCUGAAAUGCCUCAGCACCAUCUGUCUCCAACAUUAAACAAAACCCACGAGAUUCCGGGAGAAAGAAAAUAGGAAAUUUAAUGAUGAACUUAACCUGAGUAACUUGAUAAAUGUUACCUUUGUGGCUAGCCAUUCACCAGCAAGUCCCUAAAAUGACCUGAAACCUGAAGAGUGUUUCACCCAUGAAAGGGUUUGCUCUCUCUGGGCAUGGCUACCCAGCACAUAUGUUAGUCAACUUUCUUUCCCUUG
This 834-nucleotide long non-coding RNA is filed under the name Pan troglodytes (chimpanzee). RNAcentral describes it as "lincRNA". Lineage: Eukaryota; Metazoa; Chordata; Mammalia; Primates; Hominidae. The record is from RNAcentral.